GACGAACGCUGGCGGCGUGCCUAAUACAUGCAAGUAGAACGCUGAAGAGAGGAGCUUGCUCUUCUUGGAUGAGUUGCGAACGGGUGAGUAACGCGUAGGUAACCUGCCUUGUAGCGGGGGAUAACUAUUGGAAACGAUAGCUAAUACCGCAUAACAAUGGAUGACACAUGUCAUUUAUUUGAAAGGGGCAAUUGCUCCACUACAAGAUGGACCUGCGUUGUAUUAGCUAGUAGGUGAGGUAACGGCUCACCUAGGCGACGAUACAUAGCCGACCUGAGAGGGUGAUCGGCCACACUGGGACUGAGACACGGCCCAGACUCCUACGGGAGGCAGCAGUAGGGAAUCUUCGGCAAUGGGGGCAACCCUGACCGAGCAACGCCGCGUGAGUGAAGAAGGUUUUCGGAUCGUAAAGCUCUGUUGUAAGUCAAGAACGAGUGUGAGAGUGGAAAGUUCACACUGUGACGGUAGCUUACCAGAAAGGGACGGCUAACUACGUGCCAGCAGCCGCGGUAAUACGUAGGUCCCGAGCGUUGUCCGGAUUUAUUGGGCGUAAAGCGAGCGCAGGCGGUUUGAUAAGUCUGAAGUUAAAGGCUGUGGCUCAACCAUAGUUCGCUUUGGAAACUGUCAAACUUGAGUGCAGAAGGGGAGAGUGGAAUUCCAUGUGUAGCGGUGAAAUGCGUAGAUAUAUGGAGGAACACCGGUGGCGAAAGCGGCUCUCUGGUCUGUAACUGACGCUGAGGCUCGAAAGCGUGGGGAGCGAACAGGAUUAGAUACCCUGGUAGUCCACGCCGUAAACGAUGAGUGCUAGGUGUUGGAUCCUUUCCGGGAUUCAGUGCCGCAGCUAGCGCAUUAAGCACUCCGCCUGGGGAGUACGACCGCAAGGUUGAAACUCAAAGGAAUUGACGGGGGCCCGCACAAGCGGUGGAGCAUGUGGUUUAAUUCGAAGCAACGCGAAGAACCUUACCAGGUCUUGACAUCCCGAUGCUAUUUCUAGAGAUAGAAAGUUACUUCGGUACAUCGGUGACAGGUGGUGCAUGGUUGUCGUCAGCUCGUGUCGUGAGAUGUUGGGUUAAGUCCCGCAACGAGCGCAACCCCUAUUGUUAGUUGCCAUCAUUCAGUUGGGCACUCUAGCGAGACUGCCGGUAAUAAACCGGAGGAAGGUGGGGAUGACGUCAAAUCAUCAUGCCCCUUAUGACCUGGGCUACACACGUGCUACAAUGGUUGGUACAACGAGUUGCGAGUCGGUGACGGCAAGCUAAUCUCUUAAAGCCAAUCUCAGUUCGGAUUGUAGGCUGCAACUCGCCUACAUGAAGUCGGAAUCGCUAGUAAUCGCGGAUCAGCACGCCGCGGUGAAUACGUUCCCGGGCCU
RNAcentral lists this ribosomal RNA (1369 nucleotides) under uncultured bacterium. RNAcentral describes it as "bacterial SSU rRNA". It matches the Rfam family "Bacterial small subunit ribosomal RNA", at positions 28 to 1381 of the family's 1533-position model. The record is from RNAcentral.